RNAcentral lists this unclassified non-coding RNA (341 nucleotides) under soil metagenome. Its description in RNAcentral is "partial contains 5.8S ribosomal RNA, internal transcribed spacer 2, and large subunit ribosomal RNA". The stretch from base 1 to 120 matches the Rfam family "5.8S ribosomal RNA", at positions 35 to 154 of the family's 154-position model. The record is from RNAcentral.
GAUGAAGAACGUAGCGAAAUGCGAUAAGUAAUGUGAAUUGCAGAAUUCAGUGAAUCAUCGAAUCUUUGAACGCACAUUGCGCCCGCUAGUAUUCUGGCGGGCAUGCCUGUCCGAGCGUCAUUUCAACCCUCAAGCCCCCGGGCUUGGUGUUGGGGAUCGGCGAGCCUCCGCGCCCGCCGUCCCCUAAAUCUAGUGGCGGUCUCGCUGUAGCUUCCUCUGCGUAGUAGCACACCUCGCACUGGGAAACAGCGCGGCCACGCCGUUAAACCCCCAACUUCUGAACGUUUGACCUCGGAUCAGGUAGGAAUACCCGCUGAACUUAAGCAUAUCAUAGCGGAGGA